UUUAUGGAGAGUUUGAUCCUGGCUCAGGAUGAACGCUGGCGGCGUGCCUAAUACAUGCAAGUCGAGCGAACAGACGAGGAGCUUGCUCCUUUGACGUUAGCGGCGGACGGGUGAGUAACACGUGGGUAACCUACCUAUAAGACUGGGAUAACUUCGGGAAACCGGAGCUAAUACCGGAUAAUAUUUCGAACCGCAUGGUUCGAUAGUGAAAGAUGGCUUUGCUAUCACUUAUAGAUGGACCUGC
RNAcentral lists this ribosomal RNA (244 nucleotides) under Staphylococcus hominis. RNAcentral's name for it is "partial 16S ribosomal RNA". It matches the Rfam family "Bacterial small subunit ribosomal RNA", at positions 1 to 234 of the family's 1533-position model. Lineage: Bacteria; Bacillati; Bacillota; Bacilli; Caryophanales; Staphylococcaceae. The record is from RNAcentral.